Molecule: ribosomal RNA, 233 nt
Filed under: uncultured bacterium
Lineage: Bacteria
Description: partial 16S ribosomal RNA
Rfam family: Bacterial small subunit ribosomal RNA
Source: RNAcentral
ACGGGUGAGUAACGCGUGGUCAACCUACCGUUGAGUGGGGGAUAACUAGCCGAAAGGUUAGCUAAUACCGCAUACGUCUCCGAGGGGCAUCCCUUGGCGAUAAAAGGAGCAAUCCGCUCGAUGACGGGACCGCGUCCCAUUAGCUAGAUGGUGGGGUAACGGCCCACCAUGGCACCGAUGGGUAGCUGGUUUGAGAGAGCGACCAGCCACACUGGGACUGAGACACGGCCCAG